UUGAACGCUGGCGGCAGGCCUAACCCCUGCCAGUCGAGCGGAUGAAGGGAGCUUGCUCCUGGAUUCAGCGGCGGACGGGUGAGUAAUGCCUAGGAAUCUGCCUGGUAGUGGGGGAUAACGUCCGGAAACGGGCGCUAAUACCGCAUACGUCCUGAGGGAGAAAGUGGGGGAUCUUCGGACCUCACGCUAUCAGAUGAGCCUAGGUCGGAUUAGCUAGUUGGUGGGGUAAAGGCCUACCAAGGCGACGAUCCGUAACUGGUCUGAGAGGAUGAUCAGUCACACUGGAACUGAGACACGGUCCAGACUCCUACGGGGGGCAGCAGUGGGGAAUAUUGGACAGUGGGCGAAAGCCUGAUCCAGCCAUGCCGCGUGUGUGAAGAAGGUCUUCGGAUUGUAAAGCACUUUAAGUUGGGAGGAAGGGCAGUAAGUUAAUACCUUGCUGUUUUGACAUUACCAACAGAAUAAGCACCGGCUAACUUCGU
RNAcentral lists this ribosomal RNA (482 nucleotides) under uncultured bacterium. Its description in RNAcentral is "partial 16S ribosomal RNA". It matches the Rfam family "Bacterial small subunit ribosomal RNA", at positions 30 to 506 of the family's 1533-position model. The record is from RNAcentral.